Nitrosomonas sp. Is79A3 is the source of this 180-nucleotide non-coding RNA. NCBI's taxonomy places the organism in Bacteria, Pseudomonadati, Pseudomonadota, Betaproteobacteria, Nitrosomonadales, Nitrosomonadaceae. The record is from Rfam.
UAAUCCCUGCGGUGUUUGUUAAGAUCUAUAUUCUUUGAACCAAGUAUUAGAAAAUGGUUGUGGACUUUAGUGAUACUGUUGUGCGCACCGAUAUACUGGAUGUGCCUGAUGUAUCCGUGAAGCAACCGCCUUGGACCUCAUGGUUCAAGAUGAAGAUCUGACGGCAUAUGUGGGGAGCUA